UACGUAGGGUGCAAGCGUUGUCCGGAAUUAUUGGGCGUGAAGAGCUCGUAGGUGGCCUGUCGCGUCGGCUGUGAAAACUCGGGGCUCAACUCCGAGCUUGCAGUCGAUACGGGCAGGCUAGAGUUCGGCAGGGGAGACUGGAAUUCCUGGUGUAGCGGUGAAAUGCGCAGAUAUCAGGAGGAACACCAAUAGCGAAGGCAGCUCGCUGGGACGUUACUGACACUGAGGCGCGAAAGCGUGGGGAGCGAACAGG
Molecule: ribosomal RNA, 253 nt
Filed under: uncultured bacterium
Lineage: Bacteria
Description: partial 16S ribosomal RNA
Rfam family: Bacterial small subunit ribosomal RNA
Source: RNAcentral